AUGGGUUGCCUGCGGCGCCGGCCGGAGCCGGCGGCCAUCGACAUCACCUGGGUGUCCUGCCGGGGCGUCAGGUCGUCGCUCCCGUUCCACACGCCGUGCCUCUACGCCUCCGUCUGUCUGACGCCGUCGUCCGCCCGCAAGAACGUCCGCCGCCGCCGCGUCAAGACCCCCACCGACCGCGCCGGCGGCGAGAACCCCGAGUGGGACGAGCGCCUGCGCCUCCCCCUUCCCGACGACGCCUCAGAGGACGAAGCCGCGGGGAAAAAGAAGGACGGGCACGUUGACAACCACGACGGCGUCCUUCUCGUGCGGUUCGAGCUCAAGGCCGAGGUGGCCGUCCUCGGGGACGUGCUCGCCGCGUCGGCCGUCGUGCCGCUCUCCGACCUCGUCGCCGACGGCAGGACGCGCCGCGUCUCCUACCAGCUGGCCUCGUCCGAGGACCGCAGGCAGCCCAACGGCGUCAUCUCCUUCUCCUACGCCUUCCACCACGGAAGCACCGUCGACGACGACCAGGAGGACCGCAGCAGCGACGGUGAGCCCGUAUCGCCCGCUAGCCCGGCCCCUCCCCCGCCGCUGCCUCAGUCGACGGCGUCGUCCUCCGGGAUGUACCCGGUGAUAGACUGGGGGCCACUGGAGCACCUCGCGGUUUACCCGCCGGUGAACAACGACACGGUCACGUCCUCAAGCUCAUCGGAGCCGAUUGCGGUCUACCCGCCGUUGCAGGAGACAUCGAGCCGUGGAAUUUACCCGACGGUGGGCGAGCCGGAUAGCAGUUUGUACCCCACAGUAGACUUUGCUCCGGUGAGCUGUUACCCGCCGAUGACGGCGCCGUACUACUACGGUGGUGGUUUCGGGUGUCCGGCAGCUCCUGCAUGGGACGGGCGAUGUUUGUACGGUUGA
This 900-nucleotide ribosomal RNA is filed under the name Triticum aestivum (bread wheat). RNAcentral describes it as "partial small subunit ribosomal RNA". Lineage: Eukaryota; Viridiplantae; Streptophyta; Magnoliopsida; Poales; Poaceae. The record is from RNAcentral.